RNAcentral lists this ribosomal RNA (984 nucleotides) under Citrobacter freundii. Its description in RNAcentral is "bacterial SSU rRNA". It matches the Rfam family "Bacterial small subunit ribosomal RNA". Lineage: Bacteria; Pseudomonadati; Pseudomonadota; Gammaproteobacteria; Enterobacterales; Enterobacteriaceae. The record is from RNAcentral.
AGAUGACUUAAGACUACCAUGCAAGUCGAACGGUGCACAGGAGGAGCUUGCUCCUUGGGUGACGAGUGGCGGACGGGUGAGUAAUGUCUGGGAAACUGCCCGAUGGAAGGGGGAUAACUACUGGAAACGGUAGCUAAUACCGCAUAACGGUGCAGACCAAAGAAGGGGGACUCCGGUUCGUGCUUCGGAGGGCUGUGUGGAUUGUGGUGGGGAGUUAUGGUUUGCUGGGAACAUCCCUAGCUGGUCUGAGAGGAUGACCAGCCACACUGGAACUGAGACACGGUCCAGACUCCUACGGGAGGCAGCAGUGGGGAAUAUUGCACAAUGGGCGCAAGCCUGAUGCAGCCAUGCCGCGUGUAUGAAGAAGGCCUUCGGGUUGUAAAGUACUUUCAGCGAGGAGGAAGGCGUUGUGGUUAAUAACCGCAACGAUUGACGUUACUCGCAGAAGAAGCACCGGCUAACUCCGUGCCAGCAGCCGCGGUAAUACGGAGGGUGCAAGCGUUAAUCGGAAUUACUGGGCGUAAAGCGCACGCAGGCGGUCUGUCAAGUCGGAUGUGAAAUCCCCGGGCUCAACCUGGGAACUGCAUCCGAAACUGGCAGGCUAGAGUCUUGUAGAGGGGGGUAGAAUUCCAGGUGUAGCGGUGAAAUGCGUAGAGAUCUGGAAGGAAUAACCGGUGGCGAAAGGCGGCCCCCUGGACAAAGACUGACCCUCAGGUGCGAAAAGCGUGGGGAGCAACAGGAUUGAAUACCCUGGUAGUCAACGCCGUAAAAGAUGGUCGACUUGGGAGGUUGUGCCCUGAAGCGUGGCCUCUCGGAAGCUAACGCGUUAAAUCAACGCCUGGGGAAUACGGCCCAGGUUAAACUCAAUGAAUGACGGGGCCGCCAACGGUGAACAUUGUUAAUCGUGCACGCGAAGACUACACUCUGACUCAGGAACUACAAGAGGCGUCUGGUUCUUCGGAAUCUAUUGGAACAGGGCCCCCA